AUACGGAGGAUCCGAGCGUUAUCCGGAUUUAUUGGGUUUAAAGGGUGCGCAGGCGGCCAUUUAAGUCAGCGGUUAAAUCGUGGGGCUCAACCCCAUUCUGCCGUUGAUACUGGGUGGCUUGAUUGCGGUCGAGGUUGGCGGAAUUCGUUGUGUAGCGGUGAAAUGCAUAGAUAUGACGAAGAACACCGAUUGCGUAGGCAGCUGACCAGACCGCAAAUGACGCUCAUGCACGAAAGUGCGGGGAUCGAACAGGAUUAGAUACCCUGGUAGUCCGCACAGUAAACGAUGAAUAUUUGUUUUCGGCGAUAUAAUGUCGGAGGCAAAGCGAAAGCGAUAAGUAUUCCACCUGGGGAGUACGCCGGCAACGGUGAAACUCAAAUGAAUUGACGGGG
RNAcentral lists this ribosomal RNA (392 nucleotides) under uncultured bacterium. RNAcentral describes it as "partial 16S ribosomal RNA". It matches the Rfam family "Bacterial small subunit ribosomal RNA", at positions 523 to 918 of the family's 1533-position model. The record is from RNAcentral.